ACUAAAUAGAUACCCAGGUAGUCCACGCCCUAAACGAUGUCUACUAGUUGUUGGUGAGUAAAAUCCAUGAGUAAACGCAGCUAAACGCGUGAAGUAGACCGCCUGGGGAGUACGGUCGCAAGAUUAAAAACUCAAAGGAAUUGACGGGGGCCCGCACAAGCGGUGGAUUAUGUGGAUUAAAUUCGAUGCAACGCGAAAAACCUUACCUGGCCUUGACAUGCCACUAACGAAGCAGAGAUGCAUUAGGUGCCCGUAAGGGAAAGUGGACACAGGUGCUGCAUGGCUGUCGUCAGCUCGUGUCGUGAGAUGUUGGG
Molecule: ribosomal RNA, 314 nt
Filed under: uncultured bacterium
Lineage: Bacteria
Description: bacterial SSU rRNA
Rfam family: Bacterial small subunit ribosomal RNA
Source: RNAcentral